AGCCGAGGGGCAUCAGUUUGGUUUGCUUGCAACCAAAGCUGGCGACCGGCGCACGGGUGAGUAACACGUAUCCAACCUGCCUCAUACUCGGGGAUAGCCUUUCGAAAGAAGGAUUAAUAUCCGAUAGCAUAUAUUUCCCGCAUGGGUUUUAUAUUAAAGAAAUUCGGUAUGAGAUGGGGAUGCGUUCCAUUAGUUUGUUGGCGGGGUAACGGCCCACCAAGGCUACGAUGGAUAGGGGUUCUGAGAGGAAGGUCCCCCACAUUGGAACUGAGACACGGUCCAAACUCCUACGGGAGGCAGCAGUGAGGAAUAUUGGUCAAUGGACGCGAGUCUGAACCAGCCAAGUAGCGUGAAGGAUGACUGCCCUAUGGGUUGUAAACUUCUUUUAUAUGGGAAUAAAGUGGUCCACGUGUGGAUUUUUGUAUGUACCAUAUGAAUAAGGAUCGGCUAACUCCGUGCCAGCAGCCGCGGUAAUACGGAGGAUCCGAGCGUUAUCCGGAUUUAUUGGGUUUAAAGGGAGCGUAGGCGGAUUGUUAAGUCAGUUGUGAAAGUUUGCGGCUCAACCGUAAAAUUGCAGUUGAUACUGGCAGUCUUGAGUGCAGUAGAGGUGGGCGGAAUUCGCGGUGUAGCGGUGAAAUGCUUAGAUAUCACGAAGAACUCCGAUUGCGAAGGCAGCUCACUGGAGUGUAACUGACGCUGAUGCUCGAAAGUGUGUGUAUCAAACAGGAUUAGAUACCCUGGUAGUCCACACAGUAAACGAUGAAUACUCGCUGUUUGCGAUAUACAGUAAGCGGCCAAGCGAAAGCAUUAAGUAUUCCACCUGGGGAGUACG
This 832-nucleotide ribosomal RNA is filed under the name uncultured bacterium. RNAcentral's name for it is "bacterial SSU rRNA". It matches the Rfam family "Bacterial small subunit ribosomal RNA", at positions 60 to 884 of the family's 1533-position model. The record is from RNAcentral.